Molecule: long non-coding RNA, 232 nt
Filed under: Lathyrus oleraceus (garden pea)
Lineage: Eukaryota; Viridiplantae; Streptophyta; Magnoliopsida; Fabales; Fabaceae
Description: Pisum sativum (pea) long non-coding RNA (PSAT_LNC016422)
Source: RNAcentral
UCUCAUUUUCAUUAAAAUUUUAUAUCUCCUUUUUUUCCUCCCUCACGCUUCUCUGACUCACAAACAAACAAAACCAAAACAAAAUCCACCCAAAUAGAUCAAACACGCCUGUUUUCAGAAGAAAAAAAACUCAAGAACAAAGUGAUUAACAUUUGAAUGUUCAUCACUAUUUUUCAUAUUUUCCCCAAACUUCAUCAAAAUUCAAAACUAUAAACACAAACCCUAAUUAAAA